UACAGAGGUCCCGAGCGUUGUUCGGAUUCAUUGGGCGUAAAGGGUGCGUAGGUGGCAAAGUAAGUUGGAUGUGAAAUCCUGGGGCUUAACCUCAGAAUUGCAUUCAAUACUGCUUAGCUAGAGAGCUGUAGAGGAGACUGGAAUUUACGGUAUAGCAGUGAAAUGCGUAGAUAUCGUAAGGAACGCCAGUGGCGAAAGCGAGUCUCUGGGCAGCAUCUGACACUGAGGCACGAAGGCCAGGGGAGCAAACGGG
This 253-nucleotide ribosomal RNA is filed under the name uncultured bacterium. Its description in RNAcentral is "partial 16S ribosomal RNA". It matches the Rfam family "Bacterial small subunit ribosomal RNA", at positions 524 to 776 of the family's 1533-position model. The record is from RNAcentral.